This 731-nucleotide non-coding RNA is filed under the name Nyctemera adversata. Lineage: Eukaryota; Metazoa; Arthropoda; Insecta; Lepidoptera; Erebidae. The record is from RNAcentral.
AUGAAUUUUGGUAUAAAAUUAAUUAUUUUAAUAAUGAUUUAUAUUUUUGGUAGUAAUUAAUAUUAAAUAUUUAAGAAAUUAAGAUUUAGUAAUAUUUUUAUUCAAUAACAAAUUUUGUGCCAGCAGUUGCGGUUAAACAAAAGUUGAUUUAAAUUUUAUUAGUAAUUAAUAAAUAAUUUAAAUUUAUAAUUUAAAUUUUAAAUUAUUAGGUGAAAUUUUAAUUUAUAAAAAAGUUAUUUUAAUAUUAUGAUUUAAUAAAUUUUAUUAAAAACUAGGAUUAGAUACCCUAUUAUGAAAAUUUUAAAUUUUAAUACUAAAAUAGUAAAUAAUUAUUUAUUGAAACUUAAGUAAUUUGGCGGUAUUUUAGUUCAUUUAGAGGAAUCUGUUUAAUAAUUGAUAGUCCACGAAUAAAUUUACUUAAUUUAUAAUUUUGUAUAUCGUUGUUAAAAAAAUAUUUUUAAAAAAUUAAUAAUAUUUAAAAAUUUAUAUAAUAAAUUAAAUCAGAUCAAGAUGCAGAUUAUAAUUAAGAAUAUAAUGGAUUACAAUAAAUUUAUUUAUAUGAAUAUUAAUUUGUAAAAAUUAAUUGAAAGUGGAUUUAAAUGUAAUUUUAUUUAAUUUAAUAAAAUGAUUAAAAAUUAAAAUAUGUACAUAUUGCCCGUCGCUUUCAUAUAAAAAGAAAUUGAAAUAAGUCGUAACAAAGUAGAGAUACUGGAAAGUGUUUCUAGAAAGAC